UCCCAGUGACUGUCCCCUCGUGGGCCUCAUAGCCCAGGCAGCAUUCAAAAAUCAGCACAUCCCAGAAGUACUCUUUUGGUAACUGACGAGAGCUGAGGCUACAUGCUGAGGUUUUCCAUUCCUGCCAGAAAAGAGUUUUGGACAAGAAGCAGCUCUGAACUGAACCAAAACUGAAUGCCCAAACUACAAUUCUACAGGAUUUCAGUAUUAUUUUAUGUUCCCUGAGUCCUGAGGAAUUGAUGGCACCGAUGGAAGCAAGACUAACGAGGAUUGUUCUGUACAGCUGAGCACUGCAGACAGAAGACAAUCAGAGGAGAACAUGCUGUGCAGUGACUCUCUCCACCAUGUGAAGAAGCUGGUGAAAUGCCCUGAAGCCUCCCACAGUUGAGCUGUGAUUAAGAGAGUCAGCACAGGUCCUGUGAGCGUGUCUAACUCUAGUGUCAUGGCCCCUGUGUGCAGCGGUUGAAAGUUGGAUCUUUCAAAGGUGAUAAAACGACCUCUUUACAGCAAUAAGGAUAAUACAACUUCAGGAGAUUAUUACUAGGGGGGGGGGAGAAGUUGGCUGCUGCUGCAGUCUUCGGUAAAAGAUAGGGUAACUUUUAAAAGGUGUGGUUUUGUCAUUGAAAUCAGCCUCUGUGAUAAAGUAAAGCUCACCAAAUGUUUUCAGUGUAAAUGUUAGGGAAAAUGAAAAUCUAACUU
This 699-nucleotide long non-coding RNA is filed under the name Calidris pugnax (ruff). RNAcentral describes it as "lncRNA (ENSCPUG00000007706.1)". Lineage: Eukaryota; Metazoa; Chordata; Aves; Charadriiformes; Scolopacidae. The record is from RNAcentral.